UACGUAGGGGGCUAGCGUUGUCCGGAAUCAUUGGGCGUAAAGCGCGUGUAGGCGGUCCGGUAAGUCCGCUGUGAAAGUCGGGGGCUUAACCCUCGGAUGCCGGUGGAUACUGUCGGGCUUGAGUACGGAAGAGGCGAGUGGAAUUCCUGGUGUAGCGGUGAAAUGCGCAGAUAUCAAGAGGAACACCUGCGGCGAAGGCGGGUUGCUGGGCCGACACUGACGCUGAGGCGCGAAAGCUAGGGGAGCGAACGGG
RNAcentral lists this ribosomal RNA (253 nucleotides) under uncultured bacterium. RNAcentral's name for it is "partial 16S ribosomal RNA". It matches the Rfam family "Bacterial small subunit ribosomal RNA", at positions 524 to 776 of the family's 1533-position model. The record is from RNAcentral.